AGUAACGCGUAAAGAACUUGCCCUUUAGACUGGGAUAACAGAGGGAAACUUCUGAUAAUACUGGAUAAGUUAGUAUAUCGCAUGAUAUGCAAAUGAAAGCUACGGCACUAAAGGAGAGCUUUGCGUCCUAUUAGCUAGUUGGUAAGGUAAGAGCUUACCAAGGCGAUGAUAGGUAGCCGGCCUGAGAGGGUGGACGGCCACAAGGGGACUGAGAUACGGCCCUUACUCCUACGGGAGGCAGCAGCU
This 246-nucleotide ribosomal RNA is filed under the name uncultured Leptotrichia sp. RNAcentral describes it as "partial 16S ribosomal RNA". It matches the Rfam family "Bacterial small subunit ribosomal RNA", at positions 109 to 355 of the family's 1533-position model. The record is from RNAcentral. Lineage: Bacteria; Fusobacteriati; Fusobacteriota; Fusobacteriia; Fusobacteriales; Leptotrichiaceae.